AAAAUUACAUUUUUAAUACUUGGUUUGUAUGUGAGGUCCGAAUAGAGCUUACGAUAUGGUUUGUAACCUGUACUGUUGACAUCACUCCGUUUGAUCGUUUGUAGAUACCUAUUUGAUGGUCAGUUUUAAUAUAGCUUUACAUAUUCAAUCUAAUACAUACCCCGAUAUGUACUUAUCAAAAUUCUAUGAAUAUGUGCAAAUGAACAUAACAAAGUUCUUGUGUGAAAUUAUUGUUUUGGCAAAAAGAAUACAAACAUGACGGAAUGAGAAUGAAAGAAUGUUAUAUAUUGUUAUGCAUGUCUAUAAACAGUGUACACAAGCAUAUGCAGAUAAUACGAACAUGGACAUGACAUACAUUAAAAAAAAAUAUUGCAAAUAUGUGACCCGCCAUGACAGUUGCAGGCUUAUGGAGGUAGAACGUCAUUGUUAGAAAAAUUAUAAACAUGAUAAAUAUCGAGAUUCAAUGAAAUACGUAUUUGUGAAGAAGAGAUAAACACUGUCCUUGGCUUCAUUUUGCGUACGCCGAACUAUACAUCAUCUAUAAGUUUUGAAGAAGUUUUACUUUAUCGUUUGAAGUGAAAAAUAUUUGAAUCUACAUUAUAAAUUGAUACAAACAAAAUUAAAUUUCUGCCCUAUAGAUUUCCUUUCAUAAAUGAAGUCUGAAUAUAUCCAUAAUUAAUGCACCGUAUCAAAUGCAUUUAAGAUAACACCUACUUAUAAACUGUUACGCGUCGCAUACUAUGUAUAGAGACAUGCAUAAUAAAUGUAAAUUAAAAAAAGGAAUUCUUAAUGCUUACUUUGAAAAAUGUUAAACUAACUUCAUUUCAACAAGUUUAAAUUACAUGUUCUAAAAAAGAGCUAAAAAUUGUUUGCAUUGUAGUAAAUUUAAGUCUUUAAAAUUUUAUUCAAAUACGCUAUUGAACAUCACUAAAGGCCAAUAAAUACAAACAUUUUGUGUUUUAUAAAUAAGGGCAUUCAAUAAAUAAAAGUCGUUAUAGAAUAGUCCCAUUUCAUACCGGUACUCGAAAUGACUCGUUUCAUUGAUAUUAACAAAUAUGUCAUAAUAACAUGACAGAGAGUUUUGUUUCGGAAUAUUCUAGAUAAAUAUACAAAAAUCAAAUUUUAGACAAUGUACCCUCCUGAGCCUGGAAAUGGCUAGUCACAUAUAGUUAACGGCGUUUUUCUCACAAUGACGUUCUACCUCCAUAAGUCUGGAUAUGUCGUGGCUAGUCACAUAUUUGUUCUCUUAUUUGGACUAUUUUGUUUUGAAAUUUUUUUUAUCUAAUAUACAUAAACGAACAUAACAAUCAUCAUUGCCUUAAGGUAGUUCAGGGGUAAAGAAAAAAAAUGACAGAAUUUUCUUAUACUUUGUGAAAUUUAACUUUGAAGUAUUGUUAAUGAAAAAAUGCAAAAAAAAAUUGGGGUCACCGGCCAUCUAAGACAUAUUUUGACCUCUGAAAAUGAGUGCAAAUAGGUUAUAUGGAACUAUAGGGAAAAUGGACAAAAAAACAAUUUGAUUGAAUUUUUACAGCAAAAUAAAUGACAGAAGUUGCUCAUUUUUUCAUAUUGUAAAGCUUGAUGUCUCUAUUUUAUAAAAUUGAAAUAAAAUUUGGGGGUCACCGGCCAUCCAAGAGAUUGUUUGACCUCUGAAAAUGAGUGCAAAUAGGCUAAAUAUAGGGAAAACAGGCAUAAAAUAUCUUUGAUUGAAUUUUCAGAGCAAAAUAAAUGACAGAAGUUGCUCAUUUUUUCAAACUGUAAAGCUUGAUUCUCUAUUUUAUAAAAUUGAAGUAAAAUUUGGGGGUCACCGGCCAUCCAAGAGAUUUUUUGACCUCUGAAAAUGAGUGCAAAUAGGCUAAAUAUAGGGAAAACAGGCAUAAAAUAUAUUUGAUUGCAUUUUCAGAGCAAAAUAAAUGACAGAGGUUGCUCAUUUUUUCAAACUGUAAAGCUUGAUGUCUCUAUUUUAUAAAAUUGAAAUAAAAUUUGGGGGUCACCGGCCAUCCAAGAGAUUGUUUGACCUCUGAAAAGGAGUGCAAAUAGGCUUAAUAUAGGGAAACAGGCAUAAAAUAUCUUUGAUUGAAUUUUCAGAGCAAAAUAAAUGACAGAAGUUGCUCAUUUUUUCAAACUGUAAAGUUUGAUGUCUCUUUUUUAUAAAAUUGAAGUAAAAUUUGGGGGUCACCGGCCAUCCAAGAGAUUUUUUGGCCUCUGAAAAUGAGUGCAAAUAGGCUAAAUAUAGGGAAAACAGGCAUAAAAUAUAUUUGAUUGAAUUUUCAGAGCAAAAUAAAUGACAGAAGUUGUUCAUUAUUUCAUACUGUAAAGUUUGAUGUCUUUAUUUUAUAAAAUUGAAAUUAAGUUUGGGGGUCACCGGCCAUCCAAGAAAUUUUUUGACCUCUGAAAAUGAGUGCAAGUAGGCUAAAUAUAAGGAAAACAGGUUAAAUAUCUUUGAUUAAAUUUUCAGAGCAAAAUAAAUGACAAAAGUUGCUCAUUUUUUCAUACUGUAAAGCUUGAUGUCGCUAUUUUAUAAAAUUGAAAUAAAAUUUGGGGGUCACCGGCCAUCCAAGAAAUUUUUAGACCUCUGAAAAUGAGUGCAAAUAGGCUAAAUAUAAGAAAAAAAGCAUAAAAUAUCUUUGAUUGAAUUUUCAGAGCAAAAUAAAUGACGGACGUUGGUCAUUUUUUCAUACUGUAAAGCUUGAUGUCUCUUUUUUAUAAAAUUGAAAUAAAAUUUGGGGGUCACCGGCCAUCCAAGAAAUUUUUUGACCUCUGAAAAUGAGUGCAAAUAGGCUAAAUAUAGGAAAACAGGCAUAAAAUAUCUUUGAUUGAAUUUUCAGAGCAAAAUAAAUGACAAAAGUUGCUCAUUUUUUCAUACUGUAAAGCUUGAUGUCUCUGUUUAUAAAAAUUGAAAUAAAAUUUGGGGGUCACCGGCCAUCCAAGAAAUUUUUUGACUUCUGAAAAAAAUGAGUGCAAAUAGGCUAAAUAUAGGGAAAACAGGCAUAAAAUAUCUUUGAUUGAAUUUUCAGACCAAAAUAAAUGACAGACGUUGCUCAUUUUUUUAUACUGUAAAGCUUGAUGUCUCUAUUUUAUAAAAUUGAAAUAAAUUUUGCGGGUCACCAGCCAUCCAAGAGAUUUUUUUAGGAAAAUAACAGUUGUUAUGUUCUACCUCGCUAUGCUCGUCCGAACAUAAAUUAUUUCUCAUUCUAUAUAAAGAAACAACAAAGACUAAUAUGGCGGGAGGUACACACAAAACAGUUUUAAUAUAACAUUUUUUAAAAAUACAUGUAUAUCGUGCAAUCGAAUAUUAAAGUCCAUACAUCAUGCGUCAUUAUAUUAUCUAUAUAAUCUUCUCAACUGUGUUCAUACUAAUAUCUACAAAAAUAAAAUACAAAGAAUUAUGAUUUAUACAAAGCAUAUUAUGUUGUGCCUGGCUGACAUAAAAAAAUGAGUCCGUGAAACUAAAGUUUCAUUACACACUUCACUAUCGGUUAUUCAAUUCUAUUCACAUCUUACAUUCUAUCUCUGUAUUUUGCAGAUCUGGGAAGUAGAACCAGGGAAGAGGGAUGAAUUCCAAACAGUCCAAGAAGUAUUGGUAGGACCAAGAACAAUUGAUGACCAAGUUUGGACCAGAAUUAUCAAAA
RNAcentral lists this long non-coding RNA (3629 nucleotides) under Mytilus galloprovincialis (Mediterranean mussel). The record is from RNAcentral. Lineage: Eukaryota; Metazoa; Mollusca; Bivalvia; Mytilida; Mytilidae.